This is a non-coding RNA of Pelobates cultripes (western spadefoot toad), 204 nucleotides long. The record is from the annotation of a GenBank genome assembly. NCBI's taxonomy places the organism in Eukaryota, Metazoa, Chordata, Amphibia, Anura, Pelobatidae.
GGAUAGGGUAUCUUUUGAUUUAAUUGAUUGUCAGGAACUAAUCAAGAACAAAAGUAUAGAGGAUAAAUUGACUGUCUUUAAUAAAAUGUUACUGAAAUACAUUUUUCAACACAUACCAUUGGGAAACAAAUGUAAAAGAAGAAAAUUAAAACCAAUGUGACUUAAUCAGGGCUUAGUCAUGUUCUAAACAAUAAGAGAUUGGGC